This 631-nucleotide long non-coding RNA is filed under the name Homo sapiens (human). RNAcentral's name for it is "non-protein coding lnc-NRBP2-2:3". Lineage: Eukaryota; Metazoa; Chordata; Mammalia; Primates; Hominidae. The record is from RNAcentral.
GCAGGCCUGUCUCCCAUGGGCUGGGCCCCCAGUGCUCCUCACUGCCGCCUCUCUCAGGCCAAGAAGUACGCCAUGGAGCAGAGCAUCAAGAGUGUGCUGGUGAAGCAGACCAUCGCGCACCAGCAGCAGCAGCUCACCAACCUGCAGAUGGCAGCAGUGACAAUGGGCUUUGGAGAUCCUCUCUCACCUUUGCAAUCGGUCAAUAGAAAUGCUCACUUCUUCCGGGGCUCAUGUCCUUAGUCAGGGCUAGAGGGGGGCAGUGCAGCCCACGUGCUGGGGACCUUGCUCCCCUGGCCGGCCCUGCCCGCCAGCUCUGGACGAGCGCAGCAGAGCGCCAGGCGUGGUGGGGCCAGUGGUGUGGGCACCCACCCGGGACCGCCCCUGGGGAGGCCUCCAUCUGCUCUGAGGGCCCACCUUAAAACUAAUCGGCCAGGUAACUGCGGAGGGCAGCCGGCCAGGGCGGGUAGCUGCCAGCACCAGGCCCGUCUGCGCCCACGCCACCUGCACGCACGGGGUGUGCCCACGGCCUCCAGCCCCGUCAGUCUCCAGGCUGCCUGGCUCUUGGGUUGGGGUCAGGCCCCUGAGGAGAGAGGGGUCCUAACUCAUGGCCCCAUCAGACCCUGGAGGGAGG